RNAcentral lists this ribosomal RNA (495 nucleotides) under uncultured bacterium. RNAcentral describes it as "partial 16S ribosomal RNA". It matches the Rfam family "Bacterial small subunit ribosomal RNA", at positions 30 to 507 of the family's 1533-position model. The record is from RNAcentral.
UGAACGCUGGCGGCGUGCCUAAUACAUGCAAGUCGAGCGAACGGACGAGAAGCUUGCUUCUCUGAUGUUAGCGGCGGACGGGUGAGUAACACGUGGAUAACCUACCUAUAAGACUGGGAUAACUUCGGGAAACCGGAGCUAAUACCGGAUAAUAUUUUGAACCGCAUGGUUCAAAAGUGAAAGACGGUCUUGCUGUCACUUAUAGAUGGAUCCGCGCUGCAUUAGCUAGUUGGUAAGGUAACGGCUUACCAAGGCAACGAUGCAUAGCCGACCUGAGAGGGUGAUCGGCCACACUGGAACUGAGACACGGUCCAGACUCCUACGGGAGGCAGCAGUAGGGAAUCUUCCGCAAUGGGCGAAAGCCUGACGGAGCAACGCCGCGUGAGUGAUGAAGGUCUUCGGAUCGUAAAACUCUGUUAUUAGGGAAGAACAUAUGUGUAAGUAACUGUGCACAUCUUGACGGUACCUAAUCAAAAAGCCACGGCUAACUACGUG